UGGGGAAUAUUGGGCAAUGGGCGCAAGCCUGACCCAGCCAUGCCGCGUGCGGGACGAAGGCGCACAGCGUUGUAAACCGCUUUUCUCCGGGGAUAAGGCACUCUACGGGAGUGAUUGAAGGUACUGGAGGAAUCAGCACCGGCAAACUACGUGCCAGCAGCCGCGGUAAUACGUAGGGUGCAAGCGUUGUCCGGAUUUACUGGGUUUAAAGGGUGCGUAGGCGGGCUGUUAAGUCUGGGAUGAAAUUAUCUCGCUCAACGGGGUAGCUGUCCUGGAUACUGACGGUCUUGAGUUGGGAUGAGGUUGCUGGAAUGAGUGGUGUAGCGGUGAAAUGCGUAGAGAUCACUCAGAACACCGAUUGCGAAGGCAGGCGACUGGGCCCAUACUGACGCUGAGGCAC
RNAcentral lists this ribosomal RNA (400 nucleotides) under uncultured bacterium. Its description in RNAcentral is "bacterial SSU rRNA". It matches the Rfam family "Bacterial small subunit ribosomal RNA", at positions 355 to 754 of the family's 1533-position model. The record is from RNAcentral.